AUGAACGCUGGCGGCGUGCCUAAUACAUGCAAGUCGAGCGAACAGACGAGGAGCUUGCUCCUCUGACGUUAGCGGCGGACGGGUGAGUAACACGUGGAUAACCUACCUAUAAGACUGGGAUAACUUCGGGAAACCGGAGCUAAUACCGGAUAAUAUAUCGAACCGCAUGGUUCAAUAGUGAAAGACGGUUUUGCUGUCACUUAUAGAUGGAUCCGCGCCGCAUUAGCUAGUUGGUAAGGUAACGGCUUACCAAGGCGACGAUGCGUAGCCGACCUGAGAGGGUGAUCGGCCACACUGGAACUGAGACACGGUCCAGACUCCUACGGGAGGCAGCAGUAGGGAAUCUUCCGCAAUGGGCGAAAGCCUGACGGAGCAACGCCGCGUGAGUGAUGAAGGUCUUCGGAUCGUAAAACUCUGUUAUUAGGGAAGAACAAAUGUGUAAGUAACUAUGCACGUCUUGACGGUACCUAAUCAGAAAGCCACGGCUAACUACGU
RNAcentral lists this ribosomal RNA (495 nucleotides) under uncultured bacterium. Its description in RNAcentral is "partial 16S ribosomal RNA". It matches the Rfam family "Bacterial small subunit ribosomal RNA", at positions 29 to 506 of the family's 1533-position model. The record is from RNAcentral.